RNAcentral lists this ribosomal RNA (621 nucleotides) under Triticum aestivum (bread wheat). RNAcentral describes it as "partial small subunit ribosomal RNA". Lineage: Eukaryota; Viridiplantae; Streptophyta; Magnoliopsida; Poales; Poaceae. The record is from RNAcentral.
AUGAAUGAUAAAAAUAUAUUGCAACAAUUCUUAGGAAUUGUAAAUUAUGCAAGGAAUUAUAUAGAUAACCUAGCAAAACUUGCUGGACCUUUAUAUGCUAAAUUAAGAAAGAAUGGUCAAAGAUAUUUUAACUCAGAAGAUAUAAAACUAGUAAGGACCAUUAAAGACAAGGUCAAGAAUUUGAAACCUUUAGAAUUACCAUUAGAAGACUAUUACUUUAUAAUUGAAACCGAUGCCUCUAAAGUAGGUUGGGGAGCUAUAUUAAAGCAAAAACCCAACAAAUAUUCUCCCAAAACUAAGGAGAAAAUAUGUAGAUAUGCUUCAGGAAGUUACAAAUUAAAGACAUUAAAUAAUAUUGAUAGAGAAAUUCUUGCGGUAGUUCACGCAAUUAAUGCUUUUAGAUUAUAUUUAGGAUUUAAGGAAUUUACAGUACGAACAGACAGUGAAGCAAUAUGUAGAUAUUAUAAUCAGAUUAAUAGCAAGAAAAGUUCAACUAGAAGAUGGGUAUUAUUCGAAGAUACUAUAGCAAGGAAUGGAUAUAAAGUAAUAUUUGAACAUAUCAAAGGUAAAGAUAAUAGUUUGCCUGACAUAUUAUCUCGCUCCUCAAUUUUACAGCAAUGA